GUCUACCACACCUAGUGUUGCUUUGGCGGGCCCACUCCUCCGGUGUUCCGCCGGGGGGGUCGUCCCGGGGCGCGGUGUGCCCCCGGGGCCCGUGCCCGCCAGAGGCACUCACUGUGAACGCUUUUGUGAAUGCGAGGAUUGUCUGAGUGACGAAAUGCAAUCGUUCAAAACUUUCAACAAUGGAUCUCUUGGUUCCGGCAUCGAUGAAGAACGCAGCGAAAUGCGAUAAGUAAUGUGAAUUGCAGAAUUCCGUGAAUCAUCGAAUCUUUGAACGCACAUUGCGCCCUCUGGUAUUCCGGGGGGCAUGCCUGUCCGAGCGUCAUUGCGAACCCUCAAGCACGGCUUGUGUGUUGGGCCGCCGUCCCCUCGUUUGGAGGGGGCGGGCCUGAAAGGCAGCGGCGGCGUCGCGUCCGGUCCUCGAGCGUAUGGGGCUCUGUCACGCGCUCAAGGAGGGGUCCGGCCGGGGCCAUAGCCUCUGAAGGUCAAUUCUUCCAAGGUUGACCUCGGAUCAGGUAGGAGUACCCGCUGAACUUAAGCAUAUCAAUAAGCGGAGGAAAAGAAACCAACAGGGAUUGCCUCAGUAACG
RNAcentral lists this ribosomal RNA (586 nucleotides) under uncultured fungus. RNAcentral's name for it is "eukaryotic LSU rRNA". The stretch from base 169 to 322 matches the Rfam family "5.8S ribosomal RNA". The record is from RNAcentral. Lineage: Eukaryota; Fungi.